AACGAACGCUGGCGGCAUGCCUAACACAUGCAAGUCGAACGAGACCUUCGGGUCUAGUGGCGCACGGGUGCGUAACGCGUGGGAACCUGCCUUUAGGUUCGGAAUAACUCAGAGAAAUUUGAGCUAAUGCCGGAUGAUGUCUUCGGACCAAAGAUUUAUCGCCUUUAGAUGGGCCCGCGUUGGAUUAGCUAGUUGGUGGGGUAAAGGCCUACCAAGGCGACGAUCCAUAGCUGGUCUGAGAGGAUGAUCAGCCACACUGGGACUGAGACACGGCCCAGACUCCUACGGGAGGCAGCAGUGGGGAAUAUUGGACAAUGGGCGAAAGCCUGAUCCAGCAAUGCCGCGUGAGUGAUGAAGGCCUUAGGGUUGUAAAGCUCUUUUACCCGAGAUGAUAAUGACAGUAUCGGGAGAAUAAGCUCCGGCUAACUCCGUG
RNAcentral lists this ribosomal RNA (433 nucleotides) under uncultured bacterium. RNAcentral's name for it is "partial 16S ribosomal RNA". It matches the Rfam family "Bacterial small subunit ribosomal RNA", at positions 29 to 507 of the family's 1533-position model. The record is from RNAcentral.